UCAUGGUUCAGAUGGAACGCUGGCGGCAGGCCUAACACAUGCAAGUCGAGCGGAUGAAGGGAGCUGCUUCCUGGAUUCAGCGGCGGACGGGUGAGUAAUGCCUAGGAAUCUGCCUGGUAGUGGGGGACAACGUUUCGAAAGGAACGCUAAUACCGCAUACGUCCUACGGGAGAAAGCAGGGGACCUUCGGGCCUUGCGCUAUCAGAUGAGCCUAGGUCGGAUUAGCUAGUUGGUGAGGUAAUGGCUCACCAAGGCGACGAUCCGUAACUGGUCUGAGAGGAUGAUCAGUCACACUGGAACUGAGACACGGUCCAGACUCCUACGGGAGGCAGCAGUGGGGAAUAUUGGACAAUGGGCGAAAGCCUGAUCCAGCCAUGCCGCGUGUGUGAAGAAGGUCUUCGGAUUGUAAAGCACUUUAAGUUGGGAGGAAGGGUUGUAGAUUAAUACUCUGCAAUUUUGACGUUACCGACAGAAUAAGCACCGGCUAACUCUGUGCCAGCAGCCGCGGUAAUACAGAGGGUGCAAGCGUUAAUCGGAAUUACUGGGCGUAAAGCGCGCGUAGGUGGUUCGUUAAGUUGGAUGUGAAAUCCCCGGGCUCAACCUGGGAACUGCAUCCAAAACUGGCGAGCUAGAGUAUGGUAGAGGGUGGUGGAAUUUCCUGUGUAGCGGUGAAAUGCGUAGAUAUAGGAAGGAACACCAGUGGCGAAGGCGACCACCUGGACUGAUACUGACACUGAGGUGCGAAAGCGUGGGGAGCAAACAGGAUUAGAUACCCUGGUAGUCCACGCCCUAAACGAUGUCAACUGGACGUUGGGAGCCUUGAGCUCUUCAUGGCGCAACUAACGCAUUAAGUUGACCCCCUGGGGAGUACGGGCGCAAGGAUUAAACUCAAAUGAAUUGGCCGGGGCCCCCCCCAGCGGGGGAAGUUGUGGUUUAAUUUCAAUCCACGCGAAAAACCUUACCCUGGCUUUGCCUCCUAUGAACUUUUCAAAAAUGGAUUGGUGGCCUUCGGAGACUUGA
This 1020-nucleotide ribosomal RNA is filed under the name uncultured Pseudomonas sp. RNAcentral describes it as "bacterial SSU rRNA". It matches the Rfam family "Bacterial small subunit ribosomal RNA", at positions 17 to 1032 of the family's 1533-position model. Lineage: Bacteria; Pseudomonadati; Pseudomonadota; Gammaproteobacteria; Pseudomonadales; Pseudomonadaceae. The record is from RNAcentral.